GAUAACCCCGGGCCGAGUGCGGGGGUAAAGAGGGGGAGCCAAGCGUUAUGCGGAAUGAUUGGGUUUAAAGGGGCCGUAGGCGGCCUUAUAAGUCAGUGGUGAAAUCUCACGGCUCAACCGUGAAAUGGCCAUUGAUACUGUAGGGCUUGAAUUAUUGGGAAGUAACUAGAAUAUGUAGUGUAGCGGUGAAAUGCUUAGAUAUUACAUGGAAUACCGAUUGCGAAGGCAGGUUACUACCAAUGGAUUGACGCUGAUGGACGAAAGCGUGGGUAGCGAACAGGAUUAGAUACCCUGGUAGUC
RNAcentral lists this ribosomal RNA (300 nucleotides) under uncultured Halobellus sp. RNAcentral describes it as "bacterial SSU rRNA". It matches the Rfam family "Bacterial small subunit ribosomal RNA", at positions 496 to 795 of the family's 1533-position model. The record is from RNAcentral. Lineage: Archaea; Methanobacteriati; Methanobacteriota; Halobacteria; Halobacteriales; Haloferacaceae.